UACGGGGGGAGCAAGCGUUGUUCGGAUUUACUGGGCGUAAAGGGCGCGUAGGCGGCCACCGCAAGUCACUUGUGAAAUCUCCGGGCUUAACCCGGAAAGGUCAACUGAUACUGCGGGGCUAGAGUGCAGAAGGGGCAACUGGAAUUCCUAGUGUAGCGGUGAAAUGCGUAGAGAUUAGGAAGAACACCAGUGGCGAAGGCGGCUCACUGGCCCGAUACUGACGCUGAGGUGCGAAAGCGUGGGGAGCAAACAGG
Molecule: ribosomal RNA, 254 nt
Filed under: uncultured bacterium
Lineage: Bacteria
Description: partial 16S ribosomal RNA
Rfam family: Bacterial small subunit ribosomal RNA
Source: RNAcentral